RNAcentral lists this long non-coding RNA (364 nucleotides) under Carica papaya (papaya). Its description in RNAcentral is "long non-coding RNA (CPAP_LNC004732)". The record is from RNAcentral. Lineage: Eukaryota; Viridiplantae; Streptophyta; Magnoliopsida; Brassicales; Caricaceae.
GGCACAGCGACGAUGCCGGUUCUGCCUUCUACGAUAGCUCCUCUUCUCAGUCACACCAGUUUAGGAUGGUUUUGAGUGAAAAUCUGCACAAUUUGGGGUUAGGUGGCUUCUGUUGGUGGAAAAAUGAGGAAAACUGAAACUUGCCAGUGGUUAUGGUUUUCUGGUGCGGCAGAGAAGAUGGUCGGCUUCUCUUCCAGCCACCAUUCUUCUUCUUCUCUAGCGAACUGGGUGCGGCUAGGGUUAGUGUUUUGGUGGAAGAAGAGUUUAAAUACUCCUCUUCUCUCGAUCUGGGUUGUUCAUUUGUGUCUACAUGGGCCAAUCUCUGCCGUCGGAUCUCACCUAUUUGCGAAACAAAUUAGAGUCA